AGCUCCAAGUUGAUUCGGGGCUUAAUCGAGUCUUUGGCAUCUACUUUGUUACCGUAUAGUAGUUAAGGGUAAGGCGGGGCCUUGUCCCGACCUAAACUAAGGUUGUCUAUCUUGUAGAGGCUUUGUAGACUAAUGUAUAAAGUUUGGUUGUGUCUUGUCUCUUAACAAUUGUGGCCUCAACGGCCAAGUGUUGUACAUAAGUUUUGGGCCUGUCUAUGUCGGUCUUUUAUCGCUAC
This 236-nucleotide long non-coding RNA is filed under the name Solanum tuberosum (potato). RNAcentral's name for it is "long non-coding RNA (STUB_LNC006238)". The record is from RNAcentral. Lineage: Eukaryota; Viridiplantae; Streptophyta; Magnoliopsida; Solanales; Solanaceae.